UUGUAACUUAUAAAAGGGUUCCCGCGGCCUACUGAUUUUCUAGAUCUGUAAACCUCCUGAAAUUUCAAAAUAUACGAAAAUAAAACAGAAGUGACAUUUUAUAGUGUCAUUCAAUAUGGAGAACGUUAUUCCUACGCGCGAUAAAAAGGAUAUUAUAGUCAGCUUUUUUUUUUUUUAAAUGUAAUAAUAGGGCGAAUCUAAUCAAAGCCGAAAAUUCCAAUACUUUAUUUACUUUAAUAG
Biomphalaria pfeifferi is the source of this 240-nucleotide non-coding RNA. The record is from the annotation of a GenBank genome assembly. Lineage: Eukaryota; Metazoa; Mollusca; Gastropoda; Planorbidae.